UACGGAGGAUCCGAGCGUUAUCCGGAUUUAUUGGGUUUAAAGGGUGCGUAGGCGGUUUGAUAAGUUAGAGGUGAAAUGUCGGGGCUCAACCCCGAAACUGCCUCUAAUACUGUUGGACUAGAGAAUAGUUGCGGUAGGCGGAAUGUAUGGUGUAGCGGUGAAAUGCUUUGAGAUCAUACAGAACACCGAUUGCGAAGGCAGCUUACCAAACUAUAUCUGACGUUGAGGCACGAAAGCGUGGGUAGCAAACAGG
RNAcentral lists this ribosomal RNA (253 nucleotides) under uncultured bacterium. RNAcentral describes it as "partial 16S ribosomal RNA". It matches the Rfam family "Bacterial small subunit ribosomal RNA", at positions 524 to 776 of the family's 1533-position model. The record is from RNAcentral.